Long non-coding RNA from Bos taurus (domestic cattle), 1816 nucleotides. NCBI's taxonomy places the organism in Eukaryota, Metazoa, Chordata, Mammalia, Artiodactyla, Bovidae. The record is from Ensembl.
AUCCUUAUAGCUUAUUUUACACAUAAUAGUUCAUACUCUUAAUCCUUUGCCCUUAUAUUGCCUGUUUAUCCUUCUCUCUCCCUACAGGUAACCACUAGUUUGUAUUUUAUUUGUUGUUGUUCCUUCACUAAGUCUUGUCCAAUUCAUUGUGGCUUCCCUGUCCUUCACCAUCUCCCAGACUUUGUUCAAAUUCAUGUUCAUUGAGUCGGUGAUGCUAUCUAACCAUCUCAUCCUCUGCCGCCCCCUUCUUCUUUUGCCUUCAAUCUUUCCCAACAUCGGGGUCUUUGCCAAUGGGUCAACUUUUUGCAUCAGUCCUUGCUUUGAACAUUCAGUGUCGAUUUCCUUUAGGAUUGACUGGUUUGAUCUUGCAACCCAAGGGACUCUCAAGAGUCCUCCAGCACUACAAUUCAAAAGCAUCAAUUCUUUGGCAGUCAGCUUUCUUUAUGAUCCAAGUCUCACAUCCGUACAUGAGCCUGUUUCUUUUUUGUUAUAGUCACUAGUUUGUUUUAUUUUGUAGAUACUACAUAUAAGUGGUGUCAUACAGUAUUUCUCUGACUUACUUCACUUAGCAUAAUAUCCUCCAAGUCCAUCCAUGUUGCUGCAAAUGCAAAGUUUCAUUCCUUUUUAUGGCUGAGUAGUGUUCCAAUGUACCACAUCUUCUUUUUAUCCAUUCAUCUGUUGAUGGACACUUGGGUUGCUUCAGUAUUUUGGCAAUUGUAGAUAAUGCUUCGGUGAACACUGGGGUGCAGGUAUUUUUUUCAAGUUUGUCUUUUUGGUUUUUCUUCAAGUAUAUAUGCAGGAGUGGAAUCAUAUUGUAGUUCUAGUCUUAGGUUUUUUUGAGAAAACUCCAUACUGUUUUUCACAGUGGCUGCCUCACUUUAAAUUCCUACCAACAAUGUAUGAGGGUUCUGUUUUCUUCACAUCCUAGCCAACAUUUGUUAUUUUUAUUCUUUUUGAUGAUAGCUGUUUUGACAGAUGUGAGGUGAUAUCUCAUUGAUAGGUUUUGAUUUGCAUUUCUCUGAUGAUUAGCAGUGUUGAGCAUUUUUCAUGUGCCUGCUGACCAUCUGCAUUUCCUCUUUGAAAAAAUUUCUGUUCAGUUAUUCUGCCCAUUUUUUAAUCAGUUUUUUUUAUGUUGACUUGUAUGAGUUGUUUAUAUAUUUUGUAUAUGCACCCUUUGUCAGUCAUAUCAUUUGCAAAUAUUUUCUCCCAUUCAGUAAGUUGCCUUUUUUUGGUCAGUGGUUUCAUCUGUUAUGCAAAAGCUUUUAAGUUUACUUAUGUCCCAUUAGUUUAUUUUUGCUUUUAUUAGGAAACAGAUCCAAAAAAAAAACAUGGCUAUGAAUUGUGUCAGAGUGUUCUGCCUAUAUUUUCCUCAAGGAGUUUUGUGGUUUCUGGUCUUACAUUUAAGUCUUCAAUACAUUUUAAUUUAAGUUUGAAUAGGGUGUGGGAGAAUGUUCUAGUUUCAUUCUUUUAUUAAUACAUGUAGCUGCCCACUUUUCCCAACACCACUUACUGAAGAGAUUGUCUUUUCCCUGUUGUAUAUGCUUUGCUUCCAUUGUCAUGGAUUCAUUGACCGAAGCACGUGGGUUUAUAUCUGUGGUCUCUGUUCUGUUGCACUGAGCUGUCUGUCUGUUUUUGUGCCAGUAUCAUGCUGUUUUAAUUAGCUUUAUAGUGUGGUCUAGAGUAAGGGAGGGUGAUUCCUCCAGCUCUGUUCAUUUCUCUCAAAAUCAUUUUGGUUAUUUGGGGUCUUUUGUGUUUCCAUAUACAUUUUAGAAUUAUUUGUAUUUUUAAAUUUUUUAUUUCAAAUUUUGAUAUUUAU